GAUGAACGCUGGCGGCGUGCCUAAUACAUGCAAGUCGAGCGAACAGACGCGCAGCUUGCUUCCCUGACUUUAGCGGCGGACGGGUGAGUAACACGUGCAUAACCUUCCUAUUAGACUGGGAUCACUUCGGUAAACCGGAUCCCAUACCGGAUCAUAUACUGAACCGCAUGGUUCAAUAGGUAUAGGCGGUUUUGCUGGCACUUAGAGCUGGUUCCGCGGCGCGUUAGAUAGUUGGUAAGGUAACGGCUUACCAAGGCACCGCGGCGUAGCCGACCGGAGAGAGUGAUAGGCCACACUGGAGCUGAGACACGGUCCAGACUCCUAAGGGACGCAGCAGAAGGCAACCUUCGGCAGUGGGCGGAAGCCUGACGCAGCAACGCCACGUGUGUGACGAAGGUCUUCGGAUCGUAAUAAUCUGUUAUUAGGGAAGAACCGCUGUGUAAGUAGCUAUGGCCGUCUUGACGGUACCUAAUCAGAAAGCAACGGCUAACUACGUG
This 497-nucleotide ribosomal RNA is filed under the name uncultured bacterium. RNAcentral's name for it is "partial 16S ribosomal RNA". It matches the Rfam family "Bacterial small subunit ribosomal RNA", at positions 28 to 507 of the family's 1533-position model. The record is from RNAcentral.